AACGCGGGUGCGACCUACCAGCG
RNAcentral lists this small nuclear RNA (23 nucleotides) under Arabidopsis thaliana (thale cress). RNAcentral describes it as "snRNA_06165". The record is from RNAcentral. Lineage: Eukaryota; Viridiplantae; Streptophyta; Magnoliopsida; Brassicales; Brassicaceae.